AAUAAAACAAAUUAAAUAUUAAAACUUGAAUUCAUUUUAAUCAAAACAUUAUUAGAUUUAGUAAAGGGGAUUAAAAAUUAUUUUAUAUUUUUAAUUAGAGUACUGUGAAGGAAUAACUUUAAUUAUAAAAAAGAAAAAAUUAAAUUUU
This 148-nucleotide ribosomal RNA is filed under the name Unedogemmula leucotropis. RNAcentral's name for it is "partial large subunit ribosomal RNA". Lineage: Eukaryota; Metazoa; Mollusca; Gastropoda; Neogastropoda; Turridae. The record is from RNAcentral.